Molecule: ribosomal RNA, 250 nt
Filed under: uncultured prokaryote
Description: partial 16S ribosomal RNA
Rfam family: Bacterial small subunit ribosomal RNA
Source: RNAcentral
UACGGAGGAUGCAAGCGUUAUCCGGAAUUAUUGGGCGUAAAGAGUGCGUAGGUGGUUACCUAAGCGCAAGGUUUAAUCUUGAGGCUCAACCUCAUUCUGCCUUGCGAACUGGGCUACUUGAGUGCAGGAGGGGAAAGCGGAAUUCCCAGUGUAGCGGUGAAAUGCGUAGAUAUUGGGAAGAACACCGGUGGCGAAGGCGGCUUUCUGGACUGUAACUGACACUGAGGCACGAAAGCGUGGGGAGCAAACA